Molecule: unclassified non-coding RNA, 335 nt
Filed under: soil metagenome
Description: partial contains 5.8S ribosomal RNA, internal transcribed spacer 2, and large subunit ribosomal RNA
Rfam family: 5.8S ribosomal RNA (bases 1-120)
Source: RNAcentral
GAUGAAGAACGUAGCGAAAUGCGAUAAGUAAUGUGAAUUGCAGAAUUCAGUGAAUCAUCGAAUCUUUGAACGCACAUUGCGCCCCUUGGUAUUCCGGGGGGCAUGCCUGUUCGAGCGUCAUUUCAACCCUCAAGCUCUGCUUGGUAUUGGGCUCCGUCCUCAGGGACGCGCCUCAAAGACCUCGGCGGUGGCGUCUUGCCUCAAGCGUAGUAGAAAACACCUCGCUUUGGAGCGCAUGGCGUCGCCCGCCGGACGAACCUUUGAAUUUUUCUCAAGGUUGACCUCGGAUCAGGUAGGGAUACCCGCUGAACUUAAGCAUAUCAAUAAGCGGAGGA